This 253-nucleotide ribosomal RNA is filed under the name uncultured bacterium. RNAcentral's name for it is "partial 16S ribosomal RNA". It matches the Rfam family "Bacterial small subunit ribosomal RNA", at positions 524 to 776 of the family's 1533-position model. The record is from RNAcentral.
UACGUAGGGGGCAAGCGUUGUCCGGAUUUAUUGGGCGUAAAGCGCGUGUAGGCGGCCAGAUAGGUCUGCUGUGAAAACUCGAGGCUCAACCUCGAGCUGUCGGCGGAAACCAUCUGGCUAGAGUCCGGAAGAGGAGAGUGGAAUUCCUGGUGUAGCGGUGAAAUGCGCAGAUAUCAGGAAGAACACCUAUGGCGAAGGCAGCUCUCUGGGGCGGUACUGACGCUGAGACGCGAAAGCGUGGGGAGCGAACAGG